UUUGUUCCCCAGCUUUUGGCUUUGAUCAAGUGUAGUAUCUGUUCUUUUGAUUUUGAUAAAUCAAACGUGGCUUCGGUCACGCUUUAUAUCAAAUCAUUCUUUGGCUUGGGGAGGCGGCGUGUGCAGCUUGCUGUGCUCGCCGUCUCGCGUGCUGCGCGUCCUUUGCACUAACUGGGACGAAUGCUGCGGCGCACCUACU
Molecule: small nuclear RNA, 199 nt
Filed under: metagenome
Description: sequence U2 spliceosomal RNA
Rfam family: U2 spliceosomal RNA
About the family: U2 is a small nuclear RNA (snRNA) component of the spliceosome (involved in pre-mRNA splicing). Complementary binding between U2 snRNA (in an area lying towards the 5' end but 3' to hairpin I) and the branchpoint sequence (BPS) of the intron results the bulging out of an unpaired adenosine, on the BPS, which initiates a nucleophilic attack at the intronic 5' splice site, thus starting the first of two transesterification reactions that mediate splicing.
Source: Rfam by way of RNAcentral